CAGCAGCCGCGGGAAUACGUAGGGUGCGAGCGUUAAUCGGAAUUACUGGGCGUAAAGCGUGCGCAGGCGGUUUUGUAAGACAGGCGUGAAAUCCCCGGGCUCAACCUGGGAAUGGCGCUUGUGACUGCAAAGCUAGAGUGCGGCAGAGGGGGAUGGAAUUCCGCGUGUAGCAGUGAAAUGCGUAGAUACGCGGAGGAACACCGAUGGCGAAGGCAAUCCCCUGGGCCUGCACUGACGCUCAUGCACGAAAGCGUGGGGAGCAAACAGGAUUAGAUACCCCCGUAGUCCCUGUCUCUUAUAC
This 301-nucleotide ribosomal RNA is filed under the name uncultured bacterium. RNAcentral's name for it is "partial 16S ribosomal RNA". It matches the Rfam family "Bacterial small subunit ribosomal RNA", at positions 509 to 807 of the family's 1533-position model. The record is from RNAcentral.